AGAGUUUGAUCCUGGCUCAGGACGAACGUUGGCGGUGCGCUUAAUGCAUGCAAGUCGAGGGAGAACCAUUCGAUCCGUAAGGACUGGAUGGGGAAACCGGCGAACGGGUGCGUAACACGUGAGGAACCUGCCCCGAAGACCGGGAUAGCCCGAGGAAACUCGGAUUAAUACCGGAUACCCUCCUUGGACCACAUGGUCCGCUGAGGAAAUGGUCCGCCGCUUCGGGAUGGCCUCGCGGCCUAUCAGCUUGUUGGUGAGGUAACGGCUCACCAAGGCAAAGACGGGUAGCUGGUCUGAGAGGACGAUCAGCCACACUGGGACUGAGACACGGCCCAGACUCCUACGGGAGGCAGCAGCAGGGAAUAUUGCACAAUGGGCGAAAGCCUGAUGCAGCGACACCGCGUGCGGGAUGAAGGCCCUCGGGUUGUAAACCGCUUUCAGGAGGGACGAAAAUGACGGUACCUCCAGAAGAAGGCCCGGCCAACUACGUGCCAGCAGCCGCGGUAAUACGUAGGGGCCAAACGUUGUCCGGAUUUAUUGGGCGUAAAGGGCUCGUAGGCGGUUCAACAAGUCGAUCGUGAAAGCCCGGGGCUCAACCCCGGGACGCCGGUCGAAACUGUUGUGACUAGGGUCCGGUAGAGGUGAGUGGAAUUCUCGGUGUAGCGGUGGAAUGCGCAGAUAUCGAGAGGAACACCAGUU
Molecule: ribosomal RNA, 699 nt
Filed under: uncultured bacterium
Lineage: Bacteria
Description: bacterial SSU rRNA
Rfam family: Bacterial small subunit ribosomal RNA
Source: RNAcentral